This 275-nucleotide ribosomal RNA is filed under the name uncultured Amaricoccus sp. Its description in RNAcentral is "partial 16S ribosomal RNA". It matches the Rfam family "Bacterial small subunit ribosomal RNA", at positions 338 to 630 of the family's 1533-position model. The record is from RNAcentral. Lineage: Bacteria; Pseudomonadati; Pseudomonadota; Alphaproteobacteria; Rhodobacterales; Paracoccaceae.
CCUACGGGGGGCUGCAGUGGGGAAUCUUGGACAAUGGGGGCAACCCUGAUCCAGCCAUGCCGCGUGAUCGAUGAAGGCCUUAGGGUUGUAAAGAUCUUUCAGCUGGGAAGAUAAUGACGGUACCAGCAGAAGAAGCCCCGGCUAACUCCGUGCCAGCAGCCGCGGUAAUACGGAGGGGGCUAGCGUUGUUCGGAAUUACUGGGCGUAAAGCGCACGUAGGCGGAUUGGCAAGUUGGGGGUGAAAUCCCAGGGCUCAACCCUGGAACUGCCUCCAA